CCCAGUACAUAGGCAGCAGGUAUUUUCAUUAUUUUUACUAGUUAUUACUUUAAAUUUUCCAGAGCUACUAUACAACUUCAGCCUCUUAUUCAAUGAUAGGUUGUUGAUUCACUUAGUAGUCGUCCCACUGUUUGGCCAAUGUCACAUCAACAACAUUUUCAUGCAUUUUCAUCCCAAGAGGUUCACCUUUCAAAGAAAGGGAAGAAGAAGAAGAAGAACUAACAAGGUAAAAGUACUAAACAUCACUAGUUUUUAAUUUCUCACUUUUCUAAUUCUAUUAAGACAUGAUGUGAUUUGGUGUUGGAAAUUAGUGAUUUUGUCGUGGACCUAAUCAGGUCUUUCUUAUUAGCCAUUGUGUAGUUGGUUAGAACAUUAUGAGUCUAGUAUGUAGACCUGACGAGUCUUCAUAUGAAUUCUGUAAGUGGGUUAAUUUAUAAUGUCCCAUUACAUCAUGGUUCUGUCUGUUUGACCCUUCCAUAUUGAAUGGAGACCCUUACCUCAUGGUUAAGUUACAAUUCUUUUUUGUUGGCAAUCAAAAAAAAAAAAGAAAAAGAAAAAAGAAUAAGCCUUAUUGAUUCUACAUGUUCAAUUUGAAAGUUGAGGAUCUUGUUUAAUGUGUGUUUGGCAGAUUGUUUUUGACUUUGUUUUACUGCUGGGACAUUUGCUGCUAUUUUGGGAACAGUCGGAGCUGAUUUUUUUGUUGAAUUAAUGGGUUCUUUUUAGGGAUUUUUGUAUUUUUCUGCUGCCCUAUUCUGGAACUUAUAUUCUACACGAGAGACAGAGAGAGAGAGAG
Camellia sinensis is the source of this 793-nucleotide non-coding RNA. The record is from RefSeq and is a predicted model, not a curated record. Lineage: Eukaryota; Viridiplantae; Streptophyta; Magnoliopsida; Ericales; Theaceae.